AGAGGACUGAAAAUCCUCAUGUUACCGGUUCAAAUGCAAAUCUGGAUUGGUAAUAGCCGGGAUAGC
Molecule: transfer RNA, 66 nt
Filed under: Brugmansia suaveolens
Lineage: Eukaryota; Viridiplantae; Streptophyta; Magnoliopsida; Solanales; Solanaceae
Description: partial tRNA-Phe
Source: RNAcentral